This 249-nucleotide ribosomal RNA is filed under the name uncultured bacterium. RNAcentral's name for it is "partial 16S ribosomal RNA". It matches the Rfam family "Bacterial small subunit ribosomal RNA", at positions 524 to 777 of the family's 1533-position model. The record is from RNAcentral.
UACGUAGGGGCAAGCGUUGUCCGGAUUUAUUGGGCGUAAAGAGCGUGUAGGCGGCUAUGCAGGUCCGCUGUGAAACUCGAGGCUCAACCUCGAGACGUCGGUGGAAACCGCAUGGCUAGAGUCCGGAAGAGGAGAGUGGAAUUCCCGGUGUAGCGGUGAAAUGCGCAGAUAUCGGGAAGAACACCCGUGGCGAGGCGGCUCUCUGGACGGUACUGACGCUGAGACGCGAAAGCGUGGGAGCGAACGAGG